GGUUACCAGGGUUAGAGCAGCCGUUAGAGGUCCUGCUUAACCAUUGGUGGGAGUCACAGUGGGCCCCAUCCCUAAGCGAGCAGCUGUCGUCAAGCUGCCGUUAGAGAUCCUGUUUAGCCAUUGGUUGGUGCUGCAGUUGGCCCCUCCCCCAAGCGUGCAACUGUCAGUGAGGAACCGUUAGCAGACCCAUCUCACCCAACGGUCCCCAGAGUGGUGGUCAGUGAUCCUUGGUGGCCGUCAGGUGGAGAGUGAGGCUCAGGAAUACCUUGGCCACUUUGGAAAAAUGUUCCCUUGAAGAAAAGUCCCAUGUUCCUGUGGACUUACUCUUUGAUGAGCUACUAUUACAUCUUUCUGCUGUUGUUGAAUGCAUCCCUAUAUCUCAGCUCCUGACACCAUCUGAAGAACAGUAUCUUCUCUGGCUUUCCAGAAUACACCCUUCAUAGGCCCACUCCCUUUUAAUAGCAUAUCAUUGUGCAAUUUUCCUUUACACCAGGUACCGCAAUUGUUUUUCUUUGUAAGCUGUGUUUAAUUUUGUGUCACAGGCUCUGCAUAGUAAUUCACCAAUGUAU
RNAcentral lists this long non-coding RNA (569 nucleotides) under Capra hircus (goat). RNAcentral describes it as "lncRNA (ENSCHIG00000005793.1)". The record is from RNAcentral. Lineage: Eukaryota; Metazoa; Chordata; Mammalia; Artiodactyla; Bovidae.